RNAcentral lists this ribosomal RNA (480 nucleotides) under uncultured bacterium. Its description in RNAcentral is "bacterial SSU rRNA". It matches the Rfam family "Bacterial small subunit ribosomal RNA", at positions 28 to 507 of the family's 1533-position model. The record is from RNAcentral.
GACGAACGCUGGCGGCGUGCCUAACACAUGCAAGUCGAACGGGGGGAACAUGAAGUAUUUCGGUACGGAAUGCGCCCCUAGUGGCGAACGGGUGAGUAACACGUGGGCAACCUGCCCCAGACUGGGGGAUAACAUUGUGAAAACAGUGCUAAUACCGCAUGACAGGGUUCCGGGCAUCCGGGACCCUUGAAAGGAGAAAUCCGGUCAGGGAUGGGCCCGCGUCCAAUUAGCUAGUUGGCGGGGUAACGGCCCACCAAGGCGACGAUUGGUAGCCGAACUGAGAGGUUGAUCGGCCACAUUGGGACUGAGACACGGCCCAGACUCCUACGGGAGGCAGCAGUGGGGAAUAUUGGGCAAUGGGCGAAAGCCUGACCCAGCGACGCCGCGUGAAGGAUGAAGGUCUUCGGAUUGUAAACUUCUUUUGAUCAGGGAAGAAAGAAAUGACGGUAACCUGAAAACAAGACCACGGCUAACUACGUG